UGCGUGGUUAGUAACCCAACCACACCAUUUCCACUUCUCGUUCUCUUUCUGUCUGAAUAUCUCUCUCUCAUAUGAUGGUGCCUGUCUAUAUUUAUUUGCAAGCUGGGGGUGCAACUACAACCCCACCUCUCUCCUUCUUUCCCUCUCAAUUCAACCACACAUAAACCCUUCCGCAUAAUUACCUUCUACACACCGGCCCUUUCUUUCUCAAGUCUAGCUAGUUUGCAGAUGGUUUCCUUGAGUUAUGCCAAUUCAAAAGGGCUAAAUUUUUGUGGGGCAUUGAAACCCUUAUUUGAUUAUGACCCAGUUUCUAUUUCCUAUCAAUCUCUCUGUUCUCUCCUCCUUAAAUACCACUCUCCCUCCCUCUAUCGACCUCCUUCUCCCUCCCUCCCUCUACCCUAAUUUUGAUGCUUCACUAAAUACAUUUUCUCGUCAACUUCUUUAGGUAUGGUGUUCACGGGGAAGACAGCCUAUGGUAGAGAAUAGAUCAUCUUCUAUAUGCAUGCACUUGUAGUUCAUGCAUUUAUUCAUUCUAAGUAGAGUGCAUCCUAUGCAAUUAUGGGUAAGCUCUUAUACACCCGCAUACAUGCUUAGAAAUGCGCUAUAGUCUAUAAGUAUAAACCAUAAUGCACACACAUAUACAUGUUUUCACCAUCAUGCAUCCAUAUAUAUUAUAUGUGCCUGGCUCCCUGUAUGCCAUUUGCAGAGCCCAACGGAUCUUCGAUGGCCUCCGUGGAUGGCGUAUGAGGAGCCAUGCAUAUUCGCAUAUAUAUUAUACAUGGUUUAAUUUUGCCCGCAGAAGGAAAAUUUAUACUAUCACUCUGUCCAAAUUUGAAGCUUAAAAGCCUGCAAGGGCAGCAUUGUAAUUUUCAAUAGAAUCAGGUUCUCUCUGAUGCAAAGGUACAUGUCAUAUGACCUAAUUAACGUCAAGGUAUCAUGUCCUAGAGCAUUGACCAAUAACAAAACGGGAUAGAAAGACAGUUGAUCUUGAUGGCAGUUCGUUGCUCAUGGGAAACAACACUGGAAACCCUGGUCAUGUGUGCUAUACCUAGUGUCCAAGACUCCAAGUUGGUGCUCGGUGGUAUAGAUAAAUAUGGAAUAAUUGAUUUGUUUUAUAUAAAAUUUGUUCGUUGUUGU
Molecule: long non-coding RNA, 1137 nt
Organism: Populus euphratica (Euphrates poplar)
Lineage: Eukaryota; Viridiplantae; Streptophyta; Magnoliopsida; Malpighiales; Salicaceae
Exons: 2
Source: RefSeq, a predicted model, not a curated record